UGAGUCGGUUGGGUGACUGCCCCGACACUUGUGUCGGGGAGGAAAGUCCGAGCACUGCAGGACAGGGUGCCUCCUAACGGGAGGAGUCCGCGAGGGCAUGGAAAGUGCAACAGAAAAAAAACCGUCACGACAUCUUUGAUGUCGGGAUAAGGGUGAAAAGGUGGUGUAAGAGACCACCAGUUUCCGUAGCAAUGCGGGAAGCUUGUAAACCCCACUCAGUGCAAGAUCGAAUAUAUCUCCAGAUGUUGUCCGCAUCGUAAUGAGAGACGGGUAGAUUGCGUAAUCCUGACUGUGAAGUCUGGAUCAGAUAAAUGGUCACUAAUUCUGCUUUAGCAGAAAAACAAAACUCGGCUUACAGACCGGCUCAUUUU
RNAcentral lists this RNase P RNA (371 nucleotides) under Fidelibacterota bacterium. RNAcentral's name for it is "RNase P RNA component class A". It matches the Rfam family "Bacterial RNase P class A". From Rfam's summary of the family: Ribonuclease P (RNase P) is a ubiquitous endoribonuclease, found in archaea, bacteria and eukarya as well as chloroplasts and mitochondria. Lineage: Bacteria; Pseudomonadati; Fidelibacterota. The record is from RNAcentral.